AAUCAACGCUGGCGGCGUGCCUAACACAUGCAAGUCGAACGCGAAAGCCCCGCAAGGGGUCAGUAGAGUGGCAAACGGGUGAGUAACACGUGGGUGACCUGCCUUCGAGUGGGGGAUAACGUCCCGAAAGGGACGCUAAUACCGCAUCAUAUGCUGCCUUUGAAGAGGUGGACAUCAAAGCUGGGGAUCGCAAGACCUAGCGCUUGAAGAGGGGCCCGCGCCUGAUUAGCUAGUUGGUGGGGGUAAUGGCUCACCAAGGCUACGAUCAGUAUCCGGCCUGAGAGGGCGGACGGACACACUGGGACUGAGACACGGCCCAGACUCCUACGGGAGGCAGCAGUGGGGGAAUUGUUCGCAAUGGGCGCAAGCCUGACGACGCAACGCCGCGUGGAGGAUGAAGA
Molecule: ribosomal RNA, 401 nt
Filed under: uncultured bacterium
Lineage: Bacteria
Description: bacterial SSU rRNA
Rfam family: Bacterial small subunit ribosomal RNA
Source: RNAcentral